Molecule: long non-coding RNA, 400 nt
Organism: Candoia aspera
Lineage: Eukaryota; Metazoa; Chordata; Lepidosauria; Squamata; Candoiidae
Exons: 2
Source: RefSeq, a predicted model, not a curated record
GGUUGAGACCUUGUUGUUGCGUUCUGGCUUGGAGCGCCUUGUCCUUCUUAUUUUUCCCGUUGUCCACUGCGUUCCGUGAGACUGUCCCUCUUUCAGUAGAAGCGUGGGUAGCUUUGGCGUCAAACGCUGCCCUCUCUCUGCCCGAAGAAGGUGGCUCAUUUCAGUUCCGCCGGGGCCGCCGGGAGAGAUUUGCUGCAGCCUGAAGAAAAAAAAGCUGCGAGACGAACUUCUGCGGGCUACAGGCUGUUUCCUCAGAGCUGCCCCUGUAUUUCAUCUGCAUCAGCUAACUGGGCCACCUGGAUCUGUUGGAUGAGGUAUUACAAAGUUGUCUGCUUAUAUCUGUUCCUGAAAGAAGAGGGGUUCUUUUUGCACACAUUGCAAUAAACUACUGACAAUUCAA